GACGAACCGAGCGAACGUUGUUCGGAAUCACUGGGCUUAAAGGGCGCGUAGGCGGGCUAUCAAGUCCGGGGUGAAAUCCUCCAGCUUAACUGGAGAACGGCCUCGGAUACUGAUGGUCUCGAGGGAGGUAGGGGCACGCGGAACUGUGGGUGGAGCGGUGAAAUGCGUUGAUAUCGUUAGGAACUCCGGUGGCGAAGGCGGCACGCUGGACCUCUUCUGACGCUGAGGCGCGAAAGCCAGGGGAGCAAACGGG
Molecule: ribosomal RNA, 253 nt
Filed under: uncultured bacterium
Lineage: Bacteria
Description: partial 16S ribosomal RNA
Rfam family: Bacterial small subunit ribosomal RNA
Source: RNAcentral